RNAcentral lists this ribosomal RNA (253 nucleotides) under uncultured bacterium. Its description in RNAcentral is "partial 16S ribosomal RNA". It matches the Rfam family "Bacterial small subunit ribosomal RNA", at positions 524 to 776 of the family's 1533-position model. The record is from RNAcentral.
UACGCAGGGGGCUAGCGUUGCUCGGAAUCACUGGGCGUAAAGCGCACGUAGGCGGAUUGCUAAGUCAGGGGUGAAAUCCUGGAGCUCAACUCCAGAACUGCCUUCGAUACCGAGAGUCUCGAGUCCGAGAGAGGUGAGUGGAACUGCGAGUGUAGAGGUGAAAUUCGUAGAUAUUCGCAAGAACACCAGUGGCGAAGGCGGCUCACUGGCUCGGUACUGACGCUGAGGUGCGAAAGCGUGGGGAGCAAACAGG